This 414-nucleotide ribosomal RNA is filed under the name uncultured microorganism. Its description in RNAcentral is "bacterial SSU rRNA". It matches the Rfam family "Archaeal small subunit ribosomal RNA", at positions 459 to 872 of the family's 1478-position model. The record is from RNAcentral.
CAGCCGCCGCGGUAAUACCGGCGGCCCGAGUGGCGGUCACUAUUAUUGGGCUUAAAGCGUCCGUAGCCGGGGUGGGAAGUCCUCCGGGAAAUCUGGCCGCUUAACGGUCAGAAUGCCGGAGGAUACUCCCAGCCUAGGGAGCGGGAGAGGCCGAGGGGAUUCCCGGAGUAGGGGUGAACUCCUAUAAUCCCGGGAGGACCAACUGUGGCGAAGGCGCUCGGCGGGAACGCGUCCGACGGUGAGGGACGAAGGCCAGGGGAGCAAACCGGAUUAGAUACCCGGGUAGUCCUGGCUGUAAACGAUGCGGACUUUGUGUCGGACAAGCUAUGAGCUUGUCCGGUGCCGGAGGGAAACCGUUAAGUCCGCCGCCUGGGGAGUACGGCCGCAAGGCUGAAACUUAAAGGAAUUGGCGGG